GGGCGGGUGGUCUAGUGGUGAAGACGUUAGCCGCGAAAGCUGAAGACCCGGGUUCGAUUCCCGGCUCGGCCA
Molecule: transfer RNA, 72 nt
Filed under: Leguminivora glycinivorella
Lineage: Eukaryota; Metazoa; Arthropoda; Insecta; Lepidoptera; Tortricidae
Description: tRNA-Ser
Rfam family: tRNA
About the family: Transfer RNA (tRNA) molecules are approximately 80 nucleotides in length. Their secondary structure includes four short double-helical elements and three loops (D, anti-codon, and T loops).
Source: RNAcentral